This 430-nucleotide ribosomal RNA is filed under the name uncultured bacterium. RNAcentral's name for it is "bacterial SSU rRNA". It matches the Rfam family "Bacterial small subunit ribosomal RNA", at positions 355 to 775 of the family's 1533-position model. The record is from RNAcentral.
UGCGGAAUUUUAGAUAAUGGAGGGAACUCUGAUCUAGCGACGCCGCGUGCAGGAAGAAGGUCUUCGGAUUGUAAACUGCUGCGGUAAGGGAAAAAUGCUAUGUAGAAUGGAAAGCUACAUAGAGGGAUGGUACCUUACUAGAAAGCCCCGGCUAACUACGUGCCAGCAGCCGCGGUAAUACGUAGGGGGCGAGCGUUACCCGGAAUCACUGGGCGUAAAGGGAGCGUAGGUGGCCUAACAUGUCAACUGUGAAAACCCGGAGCUCAACUCCGGACUUGCAGUUGAAACUGGUAGGCUUGAGGACGGUAGAGGAAGACGGUACUGCCAGUGUAGGGGUAAAAUCCUUAGAUAUUGGCAGGAACGCCGGUGACGAAGGUGGUUUUCUGGGCCGGUUCUGACACUGAUGCUCGAAAGCCAGGGGAGCGAACGG